RNAcentral lists this ribosomal RNA (730 nucleotides) under uncultured bacterium. RNAcentral's name for it is "bacterial SSU rRNA". It matches the Rfam family "Bacterial small subunit ribosomal RNA", at positions 771 to 1501 of the family's 1533-position model. The record is from RNAcentral.
AACAGGAUUAGAUACCCUGGUAGUCCAUGCCGUAAACGAUGAUAACUAGCUGUCGGGGCUCUUAGAGCUUCGGUGGCGCAGCUAACGCAUUAAGUUAUCCGCCUGGGGAGUACGGCCGCAAGGUUAAAACUCAAAUGAAUUGACGGGGGCCUGCACAAGCGGUGGAGCAUGUGGUUUAAUUCGGAGCAACGCGCAGAACCUUACCAGCGUUUGACAUGUCCGGACGAUUUCGGGAGACCGAUCUCUUCCCUUCGGGGACUGGAACACAGGUGCUGCAUGGCUGUCGUCAGCUCGUGUCGUGAGAUGUUGGGUUAAGUCCCGCAACGAGCGCAACCCUCGUCCUUAGUUGCCAUCAUUUAGUUGGGCACUCUAAGGAAACCGCCGGUGAUAAGCCGGAGGAAGGUGGGGAUGACGUCAAGUCCUCAUGGCCCUUACGCGCUGGGCUACACACGUGCUACAAUGGCGGUGACAGUGGGCAGCAAUCUCGCAAGGGUGAGCUAAUCUCCAAAAGCCGUCUCAGUUCGGAUUGUUCUCUGCAACUCGAGAGCAUGAAGGCGGAAUCGCUAGUAAUCGCGGAUCAGCAUGCCGCGGUGAAUACGUUCCCAGGCCUUGUACACACCGCCCGUCACACCAUGGGAGUUGGAUUCACCCGAAGGCAGUGCGCUAACCGCAAGGAGGCAGCUGACCACGGUGGGUUCAGCGACUGGGGUGAAGUCGUAACAAGGUAACC